Molecule: long non-coding RNA, 202 nt
Filed under: Elaeis guineensis (African oil palm)
Lineage: Eukaryota; Viridiplantae; Streptophyta; Magnoliopsida; Arecales; Arecaceae
Description: long non-coding RNA (EGUI_LNC070137)
Source: RNAcentral
AUUUUCUAAACUCAGUCUUACGAAUCGCAUAGGACUUCUUCUUUUCUAUCAAGAUCGAUAGAUUCUAUCCAGAUGUAUCCUACUCCAAACAGCAAACCUGAACCUACAUAGCCAACAUACAUGGUAAGGACCCAUAUGGCUAGGGACCAAGAAAACAUACAGUCAAACUAUAUAGGCUCGCUGCGAAUAGCCAACACACCGC